ACUUGGCUCUCGCCCUCCGGCCGGGAAGCAUGGGGCUUCCCAGGCUGGUCUGCGCCUUCUUGCUCGCCGCCUGCUGCUGCUGUCCUCGCGUCGCGGGUGUGCCCGGAGAGGCUGAGCAGCCUGCGCCUGAGCUGGUGGAGGUUGAAGUGGGCAGCACAGCCCUUCUGAAGUGCGGCCUCUCCCAGUCCCAAGGCGACCUCAGCCAUGUCGACUGGUUUUCUGUGAGUGCUUGGGCUCCUGCAAGAGCAGCCCGGGGAGGGAGGCUCUGCCCCUCUUGUAGCCCAGGACCCUUCUCCUACUCUGUUUCUCCUCCUAUUAGGUCCACAAGGAGAAGCGGACGCUCAUCUUCCGUGUGCGGCAGGGCCAGGGCCAGAGCGAACGUGGGGAGUACGAGCAGCGGCUCAGCCUCCAGGACAGAGGGGCUACUCUGGCCCUGACUCAAGUCACCCCCCACGACGAGCGCAUCUUCUUGUGCCAGGGCAAGCGCCCUCGGUCCCAGGAGUACCGCAUCCAGCUCCGCGUCUACAAAGCUCCGGAGGAGCCAAACAUCCAGGU
RNAcentral lists this small RNA (555 nucleotides) under Pongo abelii (Sumatran orangutan). RNAcentral describes it as "retained intron". The record is from RNAcentral. Lineage: Eukaryota; Metazoa; Chordata; Mammalia; Primates; Hominidae.